Molecule: ribosomal RNA, 554 nt
Filed under: uncultured archaeon
Lineage: Archaea
Description: bacterial SSU rRNA
Rfam family: Archaeal small subunit ribosomal RNA
Source: RNAcentral
GCACCACAAGGGGUGAAGCCUGCGGUUCAAUUGGACUCAACGCCGGAAAACUUACCAGGGGAGACAGCAGUAUGACGGUCAGGUUGACGACCUUACCUAACGAGCUGAGAGGAGGUGCAUGGCCGUCGCCAGUUCGUGCCGUGAGGUAUCCUGUCAAGUCAGGCAACGAACGAGAUCCGCACCUUUAUUUGCCACCAAGAAGUCACGACUUCGUUGGGAACACUAAAGGGACCGCCGUCGAUAAGACGGAGGAAGGAGCGGGCAAAGGCAGGUCAGUAUGCCCCGAAACCCCUGGGCUACACGCGGGCUGCAAUGGUAUGAACAAUGGGCUGUGACUCCGAAAGGAGAAACCAAUCCCGAAAUCAUAUCUCAGUUGGAAUUGUCGGCUGUAACCCGCCGACAUGAACGCGGAAUCCCUAGUAAUCGUGUGUCAUCAUCGCACGGUGAAUACGUCUCUGCUCCUUGCACACACCGCCCGUCGCUCCAUCCGAGUGUGCUAAAAAUGAGGUUUGGUCAAUUUGGUCAUAUCGAGUUUCUAGUAUGCGAGGAGGGAG